CCUUGGGGGGAAGGAGGAAACAAAAACUCCAAUUCCUAACCUUACCUUCAAUCUCAUAUAACUUUCAAUCCAGAGUUCCGAUUGCCUUACCGUUUGUGGCCAUGUGACCACCGCGUUGAGCUCUACAAAAUCUACUAAACAAUUUGGGCCGAAUUAACCUUGGAGACUCACUGCUGGGUCUUGUCUCAAACGAUUGUUGGUAAGAGCGAGAUAUAUGUUUUGAGAGGCAAAUUUGGUGAUAUCAGUGACUAGAAAGUGAAUCGUGGAAGUUGGAUUUUCGUUCAGUGAGGCUUCGGGGUUUUUGAUACGCUGUAUAGCUUUCAGAUUUUGACUAUUCGAGGUAAGGGCACUUUUCUUAAACUCAUUUUAUUUCUGAGAAUUGUUAUAAAUCGAUAUUGAUGCAAAAAUAUAUUUUGGUGAUUAUGUGAGUCUUAUGGAUUGAACUGAGUUGCUCUAGAUAAUUGUGAUUGUUUGCCUGGUGGAAUUGUUGACUGUUUGAGAAGGUUGAAUAUUUUGAGUGAUUGAUUUUGUUAAAGUGGCGGUUGCUA
Non-coding RNA from Arachis ipaensis, 548 nucleotides. Lineage: Eukaryota; Viridiplantae; Streptophyta; Magnoliopsida; Fabales; Fabaceae. The record is from RefSeq and is a predicted model, not a curated record.